This 221-nucleotide long non-coding RNA is filed under the name Salvia miltiorrhiza (redroot sage). Its description in RNAcentral is "long non-coding RNA (SMIL_LNC008958)". Lineage: Eukaryota; Viridiplantae; Streptophyta; Magnoliopsida; Lamiales; Lamiaceae. The record is from RNAcentral.
AAGUAUUCCACUUUCCUUUUUAAGCCAUGGUCCCACCAUCCACCUUUAUAUUUUAUCCUUACAAAUACUCUUUAUUUACAAAAAAUCCACCCCAAAUUCAAUCUCAACCACACAUCUCAUAAAGUGGUGGGGCCCUUUCUCCACUACAUCAACAUCAUCACACAUUUUAUUAAACUCCGUGCCCGGCCAAAGUGGAAUACUUUUGGCGGACGGAGGGAGUA